This 1304-nucleotide long non-coding RNA is filed under the name Triticum aestivum (bread wheat). RNAcentral's name for it is "long non-coding RNA (TAES_LNC015148)". Lineage: Eukaryota; Viridiplantae; Streptophyta; Magnoliopsida; Poales; Poaceae. The record is from RNAcentral.
UCAGCUAGUGGUAUUAAAAUGGAUAGCUCAUGGUUGUGGAUGGCAACCGGAAUAAUAAAUCAACGUUUGAUAAUAACUGAUAAGGCAGGCACGUUAAUUGUUCAGAGACAAUAACAUGCAAAUUCACAUACUUCAAGCAAAUAGAUAUUCAGAGAUCCACUUCACUCAAGGUCAUGAGAUCGUCGCUUAUCUAGACCAUCUUUACGGCCAGCUAGCCAAACCUAGUAGCUAUCAACAUCCAUAUACUGCAGAACGUAAAGUAGUACCGACACUUGUUGAUUAGGUUACUCCUCCCCAGUUCUUCCAAAUCUCAAAGUUGUGCCUCAUGUCCAUAAUCUGUAAGCAAAUUUCACACAUACAUACUCUAACAUAAGAUAGAUUCAGUGAACAAAAUAACUGCAAGCCAUCUACUUGUAGAAACUUUUUGUGUCUGGCAGAUGGCCGUACCAUCUUAGACUGAGCAUAAAUAGGAUCUCCUUUCAAAGAUACCGCAUGGCUGAAUGUCCGCAGCAGCAUCAUCUGAUUCUCAACUACAAAAGAGAACUGGGUUAUUUUAGACAACAGGUCACCUAGCUUGCAAUCAAUGAAUUAAUUGAUUACUGAACAAUCCUAAGGCUGGUCACAAUGGGCAAGAACAUAAGCUAGUAACUUACACAUUUCCCUAGACUAUGUUACUACCUCCAUAGUGGGUAGGAACAUCUAUGUAGUGUCAUGCAAUGAUGUAUUUAUUAGGUUAUAGACUCAUUGUUUCUUGGAGUGUGUGAUGUUCCGGUAACUUAGCUAGUUACCACAAGCACCUCUCUCUUCAUUAAAUAUGUGCCACAUAAGCAAAGUUGUAUUGGAGUGUGUGAUGUUACUCCUAAGUUCCUCCCCAUUGUGACCAGCCUAAGUAGGAUUUAGGAAGGAGAGGAAUUAGGAGCACGUACCAUGGCCUUUUUCUUGCAAACGGUGAUGGGUGGUCUUCGCCUGCCCCUCAAGGCCGAUGCUCGGAUAGCACGGUGCUGGACCCUCUGCCCCCACAUCCGCAUGCUUGAGGUGGAACAGCUCGCCGUCGGUGGUGUGGAGGAAUGCCUGCAAGUCCAUCUUUCUUCAAGCGCAUUGCCGAGAUGGCUACAGAUUUGUCUCGUCCAACCCACAUGGUACGGGAAGAAGAUGAAUCACGUUGGGGGUUCAACUCAGGUUAAUGAAGGAGUUUUCCACAAAAAAAAAUUAAAAAAAUGAAGGAGUACCACCAGAGGGAUCCGGAUUCCGAUUCUCCGAGCAGGCUUCAGCGGCAGCAAGGACUCCAGUUCGUUCCGCCACCA